CCUACGGGUGGCAGCAGUGAGGAAUAUUGGUCAAUGGACGCGAGUCUGAACCAGCCAAGUAGCGUGAAGGAUGACUGCCCUAUGGGUUGUACACUUCUUUUAUAUGGGACUAAACUGUUCCACGUGUGGGAUUUUGUAUGUACCAUAUGAAUAAGGAUCGGCUAACUCCGUGCCAGCAGCCGCGGUAAUACGGAGGAUCCGCGCGUUAUCCGGAUUUAUUGGGGUUAAAGGGAGCGUAGGUGGAUUGUUAAGUCAGUUGUGAAAGUUUGCGGCUCAACCGUAGAAUUGCAGUUGAAACUGGCAGUCUUGAGUACAGUAGAGGUGGGCGGAAUGCGUGGUGUAGCGGUGAAAUGCUUAGAUAUCACGAAGAACUCCGAUUGCGAAGGCAGUUCACUGGACUGCAACUGACACUGAGGCUCGAAAGUGUGGGUAUCAAACAGGAUUAGAUACCCCAGUAGUC
Molecule: ribosomal RNA, 460 nt
Filed under: uncultured bacterium
Lineage: Bacteria
Description: partial 16S ribosomal RNA
Rfam family: Bacterial small subunit ribosomal RNA
Source: RNAcentral